AUUGAACGCUGGCGGCAGGCUUAACACAUGCAAGUCGAACGAUGAAACUCUAGCUUGCUAGAGAAGAUUAGUGGCGGACGGGUGAGUAACAUUUAGGAAUCUGCCUAGUAGUGGGGGAUAGCUCGGGGAAACUCGAAUUAAUACCGCAUACGACCUACGGGUGAAAGGGGGCGUAAGCUCUUGCUAUUAGAUGAGCCUAAAUCAGAUUAGCUAGUUGGUGGGGUAAAGGCCCACCAAGGCGACGAUCUGUAACUGGUCUGAGAGGAUGAUCAGUCACACCGGAACUGAGACACGGUCCGGACUCCUACGGGAGGCAGCAGUGGGGAAUAUUGGACAAUGGGGGCAACCCUGAUCCAGCCAUGCCGCGUGUGUGAAGAAGGCCUUUUGGUUGUAAAGCACUUUAAGCAGGGAGGAGAGGCUAAUGGUUAAUACCCAUUAGAUUAGACGUUACCUGCAGAAUAAGCACCGGCUAACUCUGUGCCAGCAGCCGCGGUAAUACAGAGGGUGCGAGCGUUAAUCGGAAUUACUGGGCGUAAAGCGAGUGUAGGUGGCUCAUUAAGUCACAUGUGAAAUCCCCGGGCUUAACCUGGGAACUGCAUGUGAUACUGGUGGUGCUAGAAUAUGUGAGAGGGAAGUAGAAUUCCAGGUGUAGCGGUGAAAUGCGUAGAGAUCUGGAGGAAUACCGAUGGCGAAGGCAGCUUCCUGGCAUAAUAUUGACACUGAGAUUCGAAAGCGUGGGUAGCAAACAGGAUUAGAUACCCUGGUAGUCCACGCCGUAAACGAUGUCUACUAGCCGUUGGGGUCCUUGAGACUUUAGUGGCGCAGUUAACGCGAUAAGUAGACCGCCUGGGGAGUACGGCCGCAAGGUUAAAACUCAAAUGAAUUGACGGGGGCCCGCACAAGCGGUGGAGCAUGUGGUUUAAUUCGAUGCAACGCGAAGAACCUUACCUGGUCUUGACAUAGUGAGAAUCUUUCAGAGAUGAGAGAGUGCCUUCGGGAAUUCACAUACAGGUGCUGCAUGGCUGUCGUCAGCUCGUGUCGUGAGAUGUUGGGUUAAGUCCCGCAACGAGCGCAACCCUUUUCCUUAUUUGCCAGCGGGUUAAGCCGGGAACUUUAAGGAUACUGCCAGUGACAAACUGGAGGAAGGCGGGGACGACGUCAAGUCAUCAUGGCCCUUACGACCAGGGCUACACACGUGCUACAAUGGUAGGUACAGAGGGUUGCUACACAGCGAUGUGAUGCUAAUCUCAAAAAGCCUAUCGUAGUCCGGAUUGGAGUCUGCAACUCGACUCCAUGAAGUCGGAAUCGCUAGUAAUCGCAGAUCAGAAUGCUGCGGUGAAUACGUUCCCGGGCCU
RNAcentral lists this ribosomal RNA (1355 nucleotides) under uncultured bacterium. RNAcentral describes it as "bacterial SSU rRNA". It matches the Rfam family "Bacterial small subunit ribosomal RNA", at positions 28 to 1381 of the family's 1533-position model. The record is from RNAcentral.